CCUAAAAACAUCUCAAAUAUUUUGAAGUUGCAAGUUAAUUAUGAGAAAAGAAACAAAUGUCCAACACCCAGUUUGGGGGAAAUUUUCUAAGGCAGCCACAGGUCUAAUGUUUGCCCAAAUGGAAUCUUUGGAAUCAUAGAGAUACUCCUUCACCUCCCAGCCAGCUCCAUCAGGUCUCUUCUAUGAUAAGAACAACAGGAAGGCAGAGAGAACACGCAGAAGGUUGACAAGAAGCUGACAUGAGCCCUUGUUUCCAUAGAACAGGGGAGAAAACAGUGAACUCUCCAUGCAAAACCAGCUCCUGGAGAAGAACCAAGUGUGGUGUGGUCUUGUCAGCCUGUUACCUGAGCAAGAGUGACAAGAUCAUGUGGGACUCACCAGGAUAUGGAGUCACAGACUGCUUAAUUCCAUACCGUGUUCUCUUGCUACUCCCGUAAAUACCAGUGUGUUACAUGGCAUGUCAAAUACGCAUCAAUUCCUU
Microtus oregoni (creeping vole) is the source of this 481-nucleotide long non-coding RNA. RefSeq lists it as uncharacterized. The transcript is spliced from 5 exons. The record is from RefSeq and is a predicted model, not a curated record. NCBI's taxonomy places the organism in Eukaryota, Metazoa, Chordata, Mammalia, Rodentia, Cricetidae.